This 73-nucleotide transfer RNA is filed under the name Ictidomys tridecemlineatus (thirteen-lined ground squirrel). RNAcentral's name for it is "Spermophilus tridecemlineatus (thirteen-lined ground squirrel) tRNA". It matches the Rfam family "tRNA". Rfam says of the family: Transfer RNA (tRNA) molecules are approximately 80 nucleotides in length. Their secondary structure includes four short double-helical elements and three loops (D, anti-codon, and T loops). Further hydrogen bonds mediate the characteristic L-shaped molecular structure. tRNAs have two regions of fundamental functional importance: the anti-codon, which is responsible for specific mRNA codon recognition, and the 3' end, to which the tRNAs corresponding amino acid is attached (by aminoacyl-tRNA synthetases). tRNAs cope with the degeneracy of the genetic code in two manners: having more than one tRNA (with a specific anti-codon) for a particular amino acid; and 'wobble' base-pairing, i.e. permitting non-standard base-pairing at the 3rd anti-codon position. The record is from Rfam by way of RNAcentral. Lineage: Eukaryota; Metazoa; Chordata; Mammalia; Rodentia; Sciuridae.
GGGGUUGUGGCUCAGUGGUAGAGUGCUUGCUUAGCAUACAAGAAGCCCUGGCAGGGUUCAAUCCUCAGCACCA